UACGGAGGGUGCAAGCGUUGAUCGGAAUUACUGGGAGUAAAGCGCACGUAGGCGGUCGGAUAAGUCGGAUGUGAAAGCCCUGGGCUUAACCUGGGAACUGCAUUAGAUACUGUCUGGCUAGAGUAUGGGAGAGGGAAGUAGAAUUUCCGGUGUAGCGGUGAAAUGCGUAGAUAUCGGAAGGAAUACCAAUGGCGAAGGCAGCUUCCUGGGCCAAUACUGACGCUCAGGUGUGAAAGCGUGGGGAUCAAACAGG
RNAcentral lists this ribosomal RNA (253 nucleotides) under uncultured bacterium. Its description in RNAcentral is "partial 16S ribosomal RNA". It matches the Rfam family "Bacterial small subunit ribosomal RNA", at positions 524 to 776 of the family's 1533-position model. The record is from RNAcentral.